CUAACUACGUGCCAGCAGCCGCGGUAAUACGUAGGGGGCUAGCGUUAUCCGGAUUUACUGGGCGUAAAGGGUGCGUAGGCGGUCUUUCAAGUCAGGAGUGAAAGGCUACGGCUCAACCGUAGUAAGCGCUUGAAACUGGGAGACUUGAGUGCAGGAGAGGAGAGUGGAAUUCCUAGUGUAGCGGUGAAAUGCGUAGAUAGUAGGAGGAACACCAGUUGCGAAGGCGGCUCUCUGGACUGUAACUGACGCUGAGGCACGAAAGCGUGGGGAGCAAACAGGAUUAGAUACCCUGGUAGUCCACGCUGUAAACGAUGAGUACUAGGUGUCGGGGGUUACCCCCUUCGGUGCCGCAGCUAAC
This 358-nucleotide ribosomal RNA is filed under the name Clostridioides difficile. RNAcentral's name for it is "bacterial SSU rRNA". It matches the Rfam family "Bacterial small subunit ribosomal RNA", at positions 497 to 856 of the family's 1533-position model. The record is from RNAcentral. Lineage: Bacteria; Bacillati; Bacillota; Clostridia; Peptostreptococcales; Peptostreptococcaceae.